GUGACCUCAAAUCAGGUAGGACUACCCGCUGAACUUAAGCAUAUCAAUAAGCGGAGGAAAAGAAACUAACAAGGAUUCCCCUAGUAACUGCGAGUGAAGCGGGAAAAGCUCAAAUUUAAAAUCUGGCGGUCUUUUGGCUGUCCGAGUUGUAAUCUAGAGAAGUGUUAUCCGCGCUGGACCGUGUACAAGUCUCCUGGAAUGGAGCAUCAUAGAGGGUGAGAAUCCCGUCUUUGACAUGGACUGCCAGGGCUUUUGUGAUGCGCUCUCAAAGAGUCGAGUUGUUUGGGAAUGCAGCUCAAAAUGGGUGGUAAAUUCCAUCUAAAGCUAAAUAUUGGCGAGAGACCGAUAGNGAACAAGUACCGUGAGGGAAAGAUGAAAAGAACUUUGGAAAGAGAGUUAAACAGUACGUGAAAUUGCUGAAAGGGAAACGCUUGAAGUCAGUCGCGUUGUCCAGGGAUCAACCUCGCUUUUGCUUGGUGCACUUCCUGGUUCGACGGGUCAGCAUCAAUUUUGACCGUUGGAAAAAGAUCAGGGGAAUGUGGCAUCUCUGGAUGUGUUUAUAGCCCUUGGUCACAUACAACGGUUCGGGAUUGAGGAACUCAGCACGCCGCAAGGCCGGGUUUUUAAACCACGUACGUGCUAGGAUGCU
This 649-nucleotide ribosomal RNA is filed under the name Cortinarius sp. EH39. Its description in RNAcentral is "eukaryotic LSU rRNA". It matches the Rfam family "Eukaryotic large subunit ribosomal RNA", at positions 1 to 627 of the family's 3401-position model. Lineage: Eukaryota; Fungi; Basidiomycota; Agaricomycetes; Agaricales; Cortinariaceae. The record is from RNAcentral.